RNAcentral lists this ribosomal RNA (1245 nucleotides) under metagenome. RNAcentral's name for it is "bacterial LSU rRNA". It matches the Rfam family "Bacterial large subunit ribosomal RNA", at positions 1564 to 2818 of the family's 2925-position model. The record is from RNAcentral.
UGAAUACGAGACGCUAAGGCGUCGAAGUAGUGUAUGUCAUACUUCCAAGAAAAGCUUGCACUGUCAUAGAUAAAAAACGCCUGUACCAUAACCGACACAGGUGGGUAGGUAGAGUAUACUAAGGGGCGCGAGAUAACUCUCUCUAAGGAACUCGGCAAAAUAACUCCGUAACUUCGGGAGAAGGAGUGCCUUAUUCGUAAGGUUGCAAUAACAAGAUCCAAGCAACUGUUUAUCAAAAACACAGGUCUCCGCUAAGUCGUAAGACGAUGUAUGGGGGCUGACGCCUGCCCAGUGCCAGAAGGUUAAAGAAGUUGGUUAGCAAUUGCGAAGCUGAUAACUGAAGCCCUGGUGAACGGCGGCCGUAACAAUAACGGUCCUAAGGUAGCGAAAUUCCUUGUCGGGUAAGUUCCGACCCGCACGAAAGGCGUAAUGAUUUGGAUACUGUCUCGGAGAGGGGCUCGGUGAAAUAGACUUGUCUGUGAAGAUGCGGACUACCUGCACCAGGACAGAAAGACCCUAUGAAGCUUUACUGUAACUUGAAAUUGAAAUUGGACUUUAUUCGCGCAGUAUAGGUGGGAGGCGUUGAUUAUAAUCUUGUGGGAUUAUUGGAGCCAUCAGUGAGAUACCACUCUUGUAAUGUUAGAUUUCUAACUUUGAAUCAUUAUCUGGUCAAAGAACAGUUUCAGGCGGGCAGUUUGACUGGGGCGGUCGCCUCCUAAACGGUAACGGAGGCGUACAAAGGUUUCCUCUGAACGGUUAGAAAUCGUAUCUAGAGUGUAAAGGCAUAAGGAAGCUUGACUGUGAGACCUACAAGUCGAGCAGGGACGAAAGUCGGUCUUAGUGAUCUGACGGUACUUAGUGGAAAGGCCGUCACUCAACGGAUAAAAGUUACUCUAAGGAUAACAGGCUGAUCUCCCCCAGGAGUUCACAUCGACGGGGAGGUUUGGCACCUCGAUGUCGGCUCAUCGCAUCCUGGGGCGGUAGUACGUCCCAAGGGUUGGGCUGUUCGCCCAUGAAAGCGGUACGCGAGCUGGGUUCAGAACGUCGUGAGACAGUUCGGUCCAUAUCCGGUGUAGGCGUUAGAAUAUUGAGAGGAGCCUUCUUUAGUACGAGAGGACCGAGAAGGACAUACCUCUGGUGUACCAGUUAUCGUGCCAACGGUAAACGCUGGGUAGCUAUGUAUGGAGUGGAUAACCGCUGAAAGCAUCUAAGUGGGAAGCCCACCUCAAGAUAAGUAUUCUCACC